UACGUAGGGUGCAAGCGUUUGUCCGGAAUUAUUGGGCGUAAAGAGCUCGUAGGCGGUUUGUCGCGUCUGCUGUGAAAAUCCAGGGCUUAACCCUGGACCUGCAGUGGGUACGGGCAGACUGGAGUGCGGUAGGGGAGAUCGGAAUUCCUGGUGUAGCGGUGAAAUGCGCAGAUAUCAGGAGGAACACCGGUGGCGAAGGCGGGUCUCUGGGCCGAUACUGACGCUGAGGAGCGAAAGCGUGGGGAGCGAACAGG
This 254-nucleotide ribosomal RNA is filed under the name uncultured bacterium. Its description in RNAcentral is "partial 16S ribosomal RNA". It matches the Rfam family "Bacterial small subunit ribosomal RNA", at positions 524 to 776 of the family's 1533-position model. The record is from RNAcentral.